RNAcentral lists this ribosomal RNA (497 nucleotides) under uncultured bacterium. Its description in RNAcentral is "partial 16S ribosomal RNA". It matches the Rfam family "Bacterial small subunit ribosomal RNA", at positions 28 to 507 of the family's 1533-position model. The record is from RNAcentral.
GACGAACGCUGGCGGCGUGCUUAACACAUGCAAGUCGAACGGUGAAGCGCCUUCCUUUUUGGUGGGUGUGGAUGAGCGGCGAACUGGUGAGUAACACGUUAGUAACCUGCCCCCUGCUUCGUGAUAACCGCAGGAAUGUUUGGCUAAUACGGGAUAUUCUGGGUCUGUCGCAUGAUGGGUCCGGGAAAUAUAUUGUUUCGGUGGGGGGUGGUCUCGCGGCGGAUCAGCUUGUUGGUGGGGUGAUGGCCUACCAAGGCGGCGAUGGGUAGCAGGGCUGAGAGGAUGGUCAGUGAUACCGGAAGUGAGACACGGCGGAGACUCCUACGAGGGGCAGCAGUGGGGAAGAUUAUAGCACGGUGGGAAGCAGGAUGCUGCAGCGCCGCCGCGUGGGAGAUGGAGGUCUUAGGGUUGAGAACCUCUUUCGGGAGUGAAGGAGGGCUGCCUAGUUUGUGGGUGGGUUGACGGUAGCUGGAUAAGAAGCACCGGCUAACUACGUG